Molecule: long non-coding RNA, 742 nt
Organism: Ricinus communis (castor bean)
Lineage: Eukaryota; Viridiplantae; Streptophyta; Magnoliopsida; Malpighiales; Euphorbiaceae
Exons: 2
Source: RefSeq, a predicted model, not a curated record
UUUUAGGUAAAUUUAGUCCAUCGUAUUAUUAUUAUUAUUUAUAGAUAAAAUUUAUGAAUUAACGCGUGAUAUUAGUUUUUGAUAUAACAUUUAUAGUAGUUGAAUUAUUCAUUAUUUUAACUGCCCAUAACUAAAAAUCAAUCAAUAUAAAUAUAAUAAAUAAUAAAUAAUAAGUUGAUACAGUGAAUCUAUCCAAAAAUUUCUCCAUAUUUCUCCCUAUAAACAUUAUUCAUUAAAGACACCAUCCACACAACCCCUUUUCUCUCUUUGUUCUGCUAGCAAUAUAGUCAGUCAGGACUUAAUGGCUCUUUCUAAGGCAUUAAUGGUGCUCUUUCUUACAAUCUUGCUAAUGAUGUCCUCUCAUCAAGUGCUGUCUGCGGAAAAUACUGAAUUCCCAGAAUCUUCUAGUAAGCUAGGAAGGAAAUUGGCUCAAGCCACUCCUAGUCCUCCUAUGGCUACAUAUGAAACAUUUCCAGGAGGAGCAGGAGGAUGCUACCCACCGGACUGUAAUUAAGGGUCAAUACAUUAUAGGUACGGCACGUAGUAGAGAAAAGCUAUAUCUACAAAGCAAAUAUAUAUGGUUUAUGCGUCAGUUUCUAUUUGUUCAAUGAUUAGGAGAGCUAUAUAACUGAACACUGUCUCCAGAGAUUCCAAAUUAUCGCUUUGAGUUACAGCGAUGCAAGUUGUUAGUUCUUUUUAUUACUUUCUGGUUUGGGUAAUUCCAUAUUUUAAUUAUGGUAAA